RNAcentral lists this ribosomal RNA (441 nucleotides) under uncultured bacterium. RNAcentral's name for it is "partial 16S ribosomal RNA". It matches the Rfam family "Bacterial small subunit ribosomal RNA", at positions 338 to 795 of the family's 1533-position model. The record is from RNAcentral.
CCUACGGGAGGCUGCAGUGGGGAAUAUUGCACAAUGGGGGAAACCCUGACCCAGCAACGCCGCGUGAAGGAAGAAGGCUUUCGGGUUGUAAACUUCUUUUAAGAGGGAAGAGCAGAAGACGGUACCUCUUGAAUCAGCCACGGCUAACUACGUGCCAGCAGCCGCGGUAAUACGUAGGUGGCAAGCGUUAUACGGAUUUAUUGGGUUUAAAGGGUGCGUAGGCGGUUUUUUAAGUUAGUGGUUAAACGUCGGGGCUUCACCUUGAUUUGCCAUUAAUACUGUAAGACUCGAGUUCAGACGAGGUAGGCGGAAUAAGUGAAGUAGCGGUGAAAUGCUUAGAUAUAACUUAGAACUCCGAUAGCGAAGGCAGCUUACCAGACUGCGACUGACGCUGAAGCACGAGAGCGUGGGUAGCGAACAGGAUUAGAUACCCUUGUAGUC